CCUACGGGUGACAGCAGUGAGGAAUAUUGGUCAAUGGCCGAGAGGCUGAACCAGCCAAGUCGCGUGAGGGAAGACGGCCCUACGGGUUGUAAACCUCUUUUGUCGGGGAGCAAAGCGAGUCACGUGUGACUCAUUGAGAGUACCCGAAGAAAAAGCAUCGGCUAACUCCGUGCCAGCAGCCGCGGUAAUACGGAGGAUGCGAGCGUUAUCCGGAUUUAUUGGGUUUAAAGGGUGCGCAGGCGGAGGUGCAAGUCUGAAGUGAAAGGCGGGGGCCCAACCCCUGGACUGCUUUGGAAACUGUAUGGCUGGAGUGCAGGAGAGGUAAGUGGAAUUCCUAGUGUAGCGGUGAAAUGCGUAGAUAUGUGGAAGAACACCGAUGGCGAAGGCAGCCUCCUGGGACAUAACUGACGCUCAGGCACGAAAGCGUGGGGAGCAAACAGGAUUAGAUACCCCUGUAGUC
Molecule: ribosomal RNA, 460 nt
Filed under: uncultured bacterium
Lineage: Bacteria
Description: partial 16S ribosomal RNA
Rfam family: Bacterial small subunit ribosomal RNA
Source: RNAcentral